This is a long non-coding RNA of Helianthus annuus (common sunflower), 3150 nucleotides long. RefSeq lists it as uncharacterized. The transcript is spliced from 2 exons. The record is from RefSeq and is a predicted model, not a curated record. Lineage: Eukaryota; Viridiplantae; Streptophyta; Magnoliopsida; Asterales; Asteraceae.
UUACAAAAAUGCUAGAUCCGACGUCCAAUAUUUGUUCACCACCUCCCUCACCGUGUUAAAGCCUCUCAAAACUCUAGGUGAAUAUGUACGAUCUGAUACCACGAUCGACGGUCAAAAUCAGCGAACCAAAUAGGGUAAAUCCACAAGAAUGAUGUGAUCCGCGCACACCUGCUAUACGUUUGCAGUGCUCGCAGGUAACAACAGUUCCGAAGGAGUUUAGGGAGUCACGGUGGUUGUAAUCCGGCGGCGGUAUGACGGGGUUAGGUUUUCCAGGCCCGAUCUGUUGUGUUGUCUGUAGAUCGAUCUCAUGCAAUAACAUUUGAACAGAAUCCGGUGCUCUCAAGUUGUUGCGUGACUCUGGUGGUUUAGGGUUUUCAGGACCGCUACAACUAUGACCAUAAUUCUGGUGAUCUCAGCAGCUCCCUGCUUUGUAUUUUGGCGAUCUAUUGGAAACUCGAUGCUGUUGCCAUGACUCCGGAAGCAGCAACACCGGUGUUUGUUACUCUCUCAAUGAGGAUGUAUCAGAGAUUGGGGUUUGAAUCGGUAAAUUUUACUUAUUUUUUCCGUUUUAGGUUCUAAUAACCUAAUCCAAUCAUCAAUUUGAUUCGUAUAAAUGUAUGUAUCAUAUGUUGUAGUCAUUGAUGAUUAUUUGAAUUUUGAUCGAGCAUAGUUCAAUCAGUAUUCAACGGUCAUACUAUUGCUUUAGACCUGUAGUAUCGUUACACUUAAAUAUUAUGUUGCUGCUAAGACCGUGGGGUAUGGUGGGGCGGGGGUUUGGGGCAUGGAUUGACACGUGGACUUCGAGGGCACUGCUGGUCAGUUGCAUGUUGGGUUGGUAUGGCGGGGCGUGGCUAGCCCGUGUGGGUUGGCCACGCGUUAUAAUUUUUUUUUCAACUAUUAUAAAAAUACAUACAAAAUUAAAAAAAAAAAGCCUAGCCACCUAUAGCCUAGCCAACCCAGCCACGGAAGACCGCUAGGCCCGCCCAACGCCCGGGCUGAAACCCCCGCCCAAGGGGCCACGCCGAAACCCAAGCCCACCCGGGGUGGUGACUUGGGCGUUUGUACCCAACCCACGCCCCAUACCCCAUAGUCUAACUUGCUAUAUCUUAAAAUAGUUGAUGUCGCAAAGUUAACUUUUUUUUGUUAAUGGUAAACACAACAGAAACUUCAACUUUUGUUGUUUAUAAGAUUAGCUAUUCAUAUCCUAAGAACACAUGAUGCACCAAAUCACCAAUUGCAGGAAACUGUUACCAUGUAUGCUUUUUAUCCGAAUAUAACUAUGAGGUAUGAGUUUAAUCCACCCAUACAAUUACGAUAGGUUGAGACAUGGGUAGGGCGGGGUGCGUAAUGAGUCAAGACGGCUCAUUAUUCGAAUACAGGUCAGGCCAAAUCAUGUUGAGGAUCUUGGAGAAGGAUGUGUGAAACAAGUUACACUUUCGGUGAUUCUUCACCUAUUUGGCCCGUUUUGUCUUCAGCUAAUUCUGCAUAUUCCCUGUUUUGGUUUAUCAGAUGCCAAAAUCCAAAGGGAUUUUAUCGUAUGGUUAUGCAUUUGGCUGCGAGGAUUGCGGGUACGCUUAUUAGAACUUAAAAGUUUCAAAAAGCUGCAAACAUGUUAAUACAGAAUUAGUAUGUCCCUAUGUGAUUUAGGCAGAGAAGAAAGUCAAAAUAACUUUCAUAUAUCAAAGUCAAAGUGUACGUCUAUAUAUAUGUAAUAUGUGUGUUCUUGAUGAAAACACCUACUGGGUGGAAUCCCAUACUUUUGCUCUUUGUAUGAUUUUUCUACUACUCAUAGAAAACACAUAUGUCAUUAAUUUUUAUUAUUGUUUUUUUUUUCCAAUUUGCAACUUCUAUGACUUUGGAUCACCCAAGAUGGCUUAUUGUUAUGGCUAACAUGUUUUCCAUCCUUCAUGUAAUUGGUGGCUAUCAGGUAUGACUAACAAUUAUGUGUGUCUUUUAUAUUUUUUUCCUUAAUUUCGCAUUACAUCAUUUGUUGGCAAGACUUUGAUGUCAUUUUUAGUUGUAGCAAAAUGGAUGACUUAGGUAAUGUGUUUAGACCAAGGUCGGUGCACAGCCAAAAUUACUAUUUUGUCCUUUGUUUCAUCCUCCACAUAAAUUACAAGAAUGCCAUGGAGAGAGAAUGUGGGUGUUGACUAAUUAUGUGUUAUGAAGAAGAACUCUAAUCUAUGUUCAUGCUUCCCAAAGUUGUCAGCACCGACUGUCGCAACCACGUCACGACAAAAACACAAAAAAAAUCUCUGGGUGUUGCCUAGGCGUGAUGUUCAAUUUAAUCACUCUAUUUUGCUUCUCUCAUUUUCAUCUUCACUAUUUUCAACCGGCGAGGUGACUCCCUUUUGGUUUCGGAAGAAGUUGUAACAUAAUGUUCGGUCGGGACAAUGACGGGUGGUGACACUGCCACAUCAGGUGUGCUUUUGGCUUUCGAGUCAGUAGGUUUAAGACAGUUCUCCGGGCGGGUAAAUAGGCCUACCGGCAACCUUGGUUAAGUAUGAAAACUCUCAGUUAUCCUUUUCUGUUUGCAUGUUUGAUAAACUUCGUAGGUGACCGAGAUUUGUUUGUUGGCGGCCUGAAUAGCAUCGACGAAAUUGUAAUAUUCCCCCUUUGUCUAAAAUUACAUUACAAGAUUGCCACUCGAUUCAACCCUUUUUAAUGUUUUUUUUUUCAGAGACCCAUAUCUAGGGAUUGACGACGUUUUCCGGCGGUGGUAGUUGUGUGGGUUAUCGGCGGUAUUGGCAGAGUGGUUUCCGACAAUAGUGGUAGGGAGAGGGUGAGAUGAGAGAGAGAGAAGAGUCGGGAAUUCCUAAGAUGUGACGGCGGCUGUUUGGUGGUUGCGGUCAGGUGGUGGUGACAUUUUUGUGAUGGAGUUGCACAGCUGGAAUGUUUUCCCGCCGCCAAAACCGGCCACCACUGGUGGUCCGUCCCCCACUCCUCUGUCUCUUACUCUCCUCGAAUGUUUUUUUGAAGAAUGGCUGAGGAAGGGUUGGUUUGAUGUGAGGAUGGUUGUAAGUUUUGAAGUUGAACCAUGGUUUAGAACAUGGUUUUGGCAUGUUCUAAGAAUUGGUUUUUAAACUUAGUUUUGACAUGUUUUUAGAACGGUAUUUAAACCGUUUUAUGAAAUAAUACUCAAAAUUAUUA